RNAcentral lists this ribosomal RNA (433 nucleotides) under uncultured bacterium. Its description in RNAcentral is "partial 16S ribosomal RNA". It matches the Rfam family "Bacterial small subunit ribosomal RNA", at positions 29 to 507 of the family's 1533-position model. The record is from RNAcentral.
AACGAACGCUGGCGGCAUGCCUAACACAUGCAAGUCGAACGAGACCUUCGGGUCUAGUGGCGCACGGGUGCGUAACGCGUGGGAACCUGCCCUUAGGUUCGGAAUACCUCCCCGACAGGGGUGCUAAUACCGGAUAAUGUCUUCGGCCCAAAGAUUUAUCGCCUUUGGAUGGACCCGCGUUGGAUUAGCUAGUUGGUAGGGUAAAAGCCUACCAAGGCGACGAUCCAUAGCUGGUCUGAGAGGAUGAUCAGCCACACUGGGACUGGGACACGGCCCAGACUCCUACGGGAUGCAGCAGUGGGGAAUAUUGGACAAUGGGCGAAAGCCUGAUCCAGCAAUGCCGCGUGAGUGAUGAAGGCCUUAGGGUUGUAAAGCUCUUUUAACCGGGAUGAUAAUGACGGUACCGGGAGAAUAAGCUCCGGCUAACUCCGUG